CACACCCACCAGGACAUCUAGUUCCCCCUUUUAUUUCCCAUCCUUUCCCAAACAUAGUAAAUUCACUUAACCAUUAAGGAUUAAACCGUUAGUAAUGCUGCACUUGAUUCCGUUCUUGAAGAAAAAGAUGGUUUCAUUCAGGAGGAUUCAGAGCAAGGUGAGGCUGGUGAGCUGGCCUCUGAACAUUAUGCUGUUUAGGUUCAUGCAACUCAGAAGAGAAAACGAUCUUCAGAGGAGAAUUGUGAAGAUUUUGUCCUGAAAACAGAAGGGGAGAAGUUUGAUCAACAUGAGAAUUUCUCAUCUUUUAAUGAAGAUCUAGUACUGUGCGUUGUGCCAUUCAUUAAAGGAUAUAGGAUGGGGGAGGGUGAUGGAAAUUGUGGUUUUAGAGCAAUUGUUGUAUUUGAGUAUUGCGAUGAGAAAAAGUGGUUAGAUGUGAGGCAGGACUUGAAGGAGGAACUAACUACCCACAAAGAGUUGUAUAAUAGAGCCCUUGGUGGUGAGGAGGAGUUUAAGAAGGCAUUUGAUAUAGUGGAUUGGCAUGAAUCUUCUGUUCCGAUGGAUUUGGUAUGAUGCAAUGUUUUUAGGGUUGGUUGUUUUAACAAAAUAUCAAAAAAUUUGCACAUAUUGUUCAAAAACAUGUCCUACAACGGUCUUGCCUCUGGAGAGUAGGACAGUUGAUCAACCUCCAACUGAGUACAUAAAUUUGGCUAUAAUAUGGAGUGAUGAGCACUCAAUAGCAUUGCACUUGGGAACCCGAGAUCUUCCAUUACCACCCCUUCUGCCACUUUAGGAAUGUCAUUGUAACACUGCGGUUAAGUCAUGGUUUAAGUCUCAUUUUAGCAAGCAACUUGAUUACUUUUGCCAAUUACGUGACUUGGAUCUCUUCCUUACCUAUCCUUGACUGUGCUUUGUGAGCUCCUGAUGGAACUUUGGCUGUAAUGAUGUGAUUAGAUUUGAUGUGUUAGAUACACAUCAUGUUACAUGGGUACAAGUGAUCAGGACCCUAAAAUUAGCCAUGAUGUGUAUUUAACAUAUUAGUAAGUGUGCGUGGAGAUGUUACUACAAAGGUGCUCAUGCAACGAGAACUUAGUUAGAGUUGAAGAAAUCUCAUCCUACAGCAUGUUAAAAGGAUUCGGCCAUGAUGAUCAAUUUGGAUUAGAUUUACUCCAACAUAACAAUUGUAAAUAGUUUAGAAUUGUAAAUCAAGAGAGGUUUUCCGAGCUCGUUAAGAGAAGGUUUUUCAUCUCUCUUGGAAGUAGAAUUACUUAAUUAUUUGAUGUUUUAUUUAGGGGUUUAAUUCGGUUGUUUUUUAUGUGAAAAUAGCUGAAUUUUAGUGAGUUUAUUCGACCAUAGUUGUUAUGAAGUAAGACUGAUUUUUAUUUCCUAGUUUGUUUACGUUUAGGAAUCCUUUAGCAAAUAAGAUUGAUGUUACUUGAGCAUCUUCAAGUUUAAAUUACACUUUACUGAUAAAUUUAGAUGUGUGUGAUGAUC
Amaranthus tricolor (Joseph's coat) is the source of this 1491-nucleotide long non-coding RNA. RefSeq lists it as uncharacterized. NCBI's taxonomy places the organism in Eukaryota, Viridiplantae, Streptophyta, Magnoliopsida, Caryophyllales, Amaranthaceae. The transcript has 3 exons. The record is from RefSeq and is a predicted model, not a curated record.